Non-coding RNA from Pelobates cultripes (western spadefoot toad), 213 nucleotides. Lineage: Eukaryota; Metazoa; Chordata; Amphibia; Anura; Pelobatidae. The record is from the annotation of a GenBank genome assembly.
CCGGUCAGCCUGCAGUCCCUGGCGGACGGAGGGCCAGGAGAUUGAGGCCUCCGUCGCGCCUUUCUUCAAGCCCGGUCCGUCAGCGUGAGCGGAGGUGAAGUGGCAGCUUGGCCUGGCACCCAGAACGGCCAUCGGUACCUGUGAGACGGAGGACUCGGGCUGCUGAGGUCGGCGGUGUCUUGGCCCAAGAUGACGGCGGCAGCAAUGGUUGAG